This is a long non-coding RNA of Poecile atricapillus (Black-capped chickadee), 409 nucleotides long. RefSeq lists it as uncharacterized. The record is from RefSeq and is a predicted model, not a curated record. The transcript has 3 exons. NCBI's taxonomy places the organism in Eukaryota, Metazoa, Chordata, Aves, Passeriformes, Paridae.
CCUCACUGAGCACCAGGGCAGCAGGUUUUCCGUUUCCAAAGCCAGAUGCAUGUCAUGAUGUGUAUGAAAAGAACUUAAGUUGGAACAAGGAGGAGAAAGAAGUAUUUUGGGUUUUCAUGAGAAAAUGGGUUUGGAACACUACCUGCAAGUGCUCUCAGAGGCCGCUUGAAGAAGGAGGAAAGGAUUGGGCUAAAGAUUUUCAUGGAGAUUUUUAUUUUCACAUGAUCAAUUGUCCAACUGAGGCAGUGCAUGGUACAAAGGUGUGGGAAACAUGGCAUGGGACCUUAAAUAGACUAAGAUAAGUUUCCAUAUUUGUUAAAUUUGUUAAGUUUGUUAUGUUUGUUAAUUUUUUACAAAUACACUCAAUUUUAAAAAUCAUUGGUUUGUAAGUAAUUUAUAAUCAGAAUUC